UACGUAGGUCCCGAGCGUUGUCCGGAUUUAUUGGGCGUAAAGCGAGCGCAGGUGGUUUAUUAAGUCUGGUGUAAAAGGCAGUGGCUCAACCAUUGUAUGCAUUGGAAACUGGUAGACUUGAGUGAAGGAGAGGAGAGUGGAAUUCCAUGUGUAGCGGUGAAAUGCGUAGAUAUAUGGAGGAACACCGGUGGCGAAAGCGGCUCUCUGGCCUGUAACUGACACUGAGGCUCGAAAGCGUGGGGAGCAAACAGG
RNAcentral lists this ribosomal RNA (252 nucleotides) under uncultured bacterium. RNAcentral's name for it is "partial 16S ribosomal RNA". It matches the Rfam family "Bacterial small subunit ribosomal RNA", at positions 524 to 776 of the family's 1533-position model. The record is from RNAcentral.